Molecule: microRNA precursor, 119 nt
Filed under: Tursiops truncatus (common bottlenose dolphin)
Lineage: Eukaryota; Metazoa; Chordata; Mammalia; Artiodactyla; Delphinidae
Description: miRNA (ENSTTRG00000024933.1)
Rfam family: mir-1302 microRNA precursor family (bases 37-88)
Source: RNAcentral
CAGUUACAUUAAAAUUUCAGUUAGACAAUGAAAAAAAUUUUAGUAUAAGUAUAUCCCAUGCAACACUUGGGAUAUACUUAUACUAAAGUAAUCUUUUUGUCUGAAAUUUAAAUUUAACU